UACGUAGGGUGCAAGCGUUGUCCGGAAUUAUUGGGCGUAAAGAGCUCGUAGGCGGUCUGUCGCGUCGGCUGUGAAAUCCCGAGGCUCAACCUCGGGCCUGCAGUCGAUACGGGCAAACUGGAGUGUUGCAGGGGAGACUGGAAUUCCUGGUGUAGCGGUGAAAUGCGCAGAUAUCAGGAGGAACACCGGUGGCGAAGGCGGGUCUCUGGGCAACAACUGACGCUGAGGAGCGAAAGCGUGGGGAGCGAACAGG
This 253-nucleotide ribosomal RNA is filed under the name uncultured bacterium. RNAcentral describes it as "partial 16S ribosomal RNA". It matches the Rfam family "Bacterial small subunit ribosomal RNA", at positions 524 to 776 of the family's 1533-position model. The record is from RNAcentral.